This 492-nucleotide ribosomal RNA is filed under the name uncultured bacterium. Its description in RNAcentral is "partial 16S ribosomal RNA". It matches the Rfam family "Bacterial small subunit ribosomal RNA", at positions 29 to 507 of the family's 1533-position model. The record is from RNAcentral.
AGUGAACGCUGGCGGUAGGCCUAACACAUGCAAGUCGAACGGCAGCACAGUAAGAGCUUGCUCUUACGGGUGGCGAGUGGCGGACGGGAGAGGAAUACAUCGGAAUCUACUUUUUCGUGGGGGAUAACGUAGGGAAACUUACGCUAAUACCGCAUACGACCUACGGGUGAAAGCAGGGGAUCUUCGGACCUUGCGCGAUUGAAUGGGCCGAUGUCGGAUUAGCUAGUUGGCGGGGUAAAGGCCCACCAAGGCGACGAUCCGUAGCUGGUCUGAGAGGAUGAUCAGCCACACUGGAACUGAGACACGGUCCAGACUCCUACGGGAGGCAGCAGUGGGGAAUAUUGGACAAUGGGCGCAAGCCUGAUCCAGCCAUACCGCGUGGGUGAAGAAGGCCUUCGGGUUGUAAAGCCCUUUUGUUGGGAAAGAAAAGCAGCAGGUUAAUACCCCGCUGUUCUGACGGUACCCAAAGAAUAAGCACCGGCUAACUUCGUG